Molecule: long non-coding RNA, 1394 nt
Filed under: Citrus sinensis (sweet orange)
Lineage: Eukaryota; Viridiplantae; Streptophyta; Magnoliopsida; Sapindales; Rutaceae
Description: long non-coding RNA (CSIN_LNC001831)
Source: RNAcentral
UCGGAAGUUAGAGAUAUUUUUGCAUCCAGAAGGUCAAAUAACUCGCCACUGAUUGCCUCUCCUGCUGAAGAUCUAAAGGCUAAGGCCGCCAACGACUGCGUUCAAGGUUUCAUUCAUUUAUCUUUUUUUCUUUUUCAUUUCUAACCUUUUAUUAUCCAAAUUAAUUAUGAAAUUAGACAGAAAAUGGCUAAUUUGUAUUUAAAAAAAUUAAAAAAAAAACUGUGUAAUAUGUUGUGAGCUGUAGAGAGAUAUUAGCUGACGUGGCUUAGUCGUCUGAGUAAUUGUUUGCAGAAGGCGUUCGAGCUGGAUUAAAGGCCGCUGCCGUAAUGUGUGUUGUCACCGCUGUGCCUACGGUAGGUUUUAUCCGUAUUUGUUAAUCUUGAUUAUAUUUGAAUUUUGGAAAUUGAGCGAUUGUAUUUUAUUGUAUUGUGCCUGUUAAUUGACUUAUUAUUUAUUUAUUGCAUUAGUGGAAGCAGCGAGUAAUAUUUUCAAUUUUUUUUUUCUAAAAAAAUUGAAAUGGAUUGUUCUUCUUUGUUUCGAUUAUUGUUGUGCCUAAUUGAAGAGAAUAUUUUUAGGAAAGGACCUCAAUAUUACAGAUCUCUAGUGUUCUGUUCUGUGGCCCUGUCUUCUAUUACCUAAUCUUCUGUCCUGUGUUAUUCAUCUUAAGUUUCACUUAAUUUGAAAAUCUAUCUGGUGGCCACCGAUAUUUCAUUUGUUAUGGCCACAGCGGCAAAUUAUAUCGUGUCCGCUGAAUAUUACAGAAAAUGUGACUGCCUUGGUUGAUGCUUAAAAUACUUUGGUCACUUCUGAGAUUAAGAAAUAAUAAGCAUGUGAGCCCUUUGCACAAUAGACUGCCCUACUAUCUAUAUUAUGUGUUUGGUGAGGAAGUAAAGUGCUGAGCAGUAUACAAUUGGAGUCUCUGUCUUGACUGUCAUCAAACUAUUCAAGAUUCAAAAGCACAUAAAAAGAGAUCAAAAUCGAAACGAACACUGCAAUGCACUGUCCUCCUCAAAUCUUAAUCCGCCAUCCAUUUUUGAGUUUCUUAUUCUAAUUAAGAAGAAGAAGAAGAAGAAGAAGAAGAAGAAGGAAUGGGAUUUCCGUCGGAAGUUAGAGAUAUUUUUGCAUCCAGAAGGUCAAAUAACUCGCCACUGAUUGCCUCUCCUGCUGAAGAUCUAAAGGCUAAGGCCGCCAACGACUGCGUUCAAGGUUUCAUUCAUUUAUCUUUUUUUCUUUUUCAUUUCUAACCUUUUAUUAUCCAAAUUAAUUAUGAAAUUAGACAGAAAAUGGCUAAUUUGUAUUUAAAAAAAUUAAAAAAAAAACUGUGUAAUAUGUUGUGAGCUGUAGAGAGAUAUUAGCUGACGUGGCUUAGUCGUCUGAGUAAUUGUUUGCAGAAG